This 22-nucleotide non-coding RNA is filed under the name Arabidopsis thaliana (thale cress). The record is from RNAcentral. Lineage: Eukaryota; Viridiplantae; Streptophyta; Magnoliopsida; Brassicales; Brassicaceae.
GACCAAUUGAUCACUCGGAGCA